UACGGGGGGGGCAAGCGUUGUUCGGAAUUACUGGGCGUAAAGGGUGCGUAGGCGGUUCGCUAAGUUGGAUGUGAAAACUCUGGGCUUAACCCAGAGCCUGCAUCCAAUACUGACGAGCUAGAGUUCUGGAGGGGGUAGCGGAAUUCCUGGUGUAGCGGUGAAAUGCGCAGAUAUCAGGAAGAACACCCGUGGCGAAGGCGGCUCUCUGGGACGGUACUGACGCUGAGACGCGAAAGCGUGGGGAGCGAACAGG
This 253-nucleotide ribosomal RNA is filed under the name uncultured bacterium. RNAcentral's name for it is "partial 16S ribosomal RNA". It matches the Rfam family "Bacterial small subunit ribosomal RNA", at positions 524 to 776 of the family's 1533-position model. The record is from RNAcentral.